UGGUGACGAGGAGGAGGACACAGAGCCAUUGGCCGACCACUUUCUCGAUGGUAGCGAUGAUGAAGAGGAACCUUUGGGUUCUGAUUCUGACUCUGAUGGAUUUGAUCUCGCAAUGGCAGGAUCUGGUAAAAGUAAAGCUAUUGAUGAAGAACGUAAAAGGCAGGAGCAAGAUGCAAAAGAUGAACUACAUAUGAACAUAAAGGAACAACCUGACAAGUUUCGUCUACCAACCAAAAAGAUUCAAUCUUUUGGAAUUUUACAAAUCAAAUUCAUUCCUUUUUUAACAUUUUAUUUUGCAAUUGUUGGUUGGUUUAUGUUGAAAAGAUCAAUGGAGCAUUAUAAGUUUAGGUGUCU
RNAcentral lists this long non-coding RNA (354 nucleotides) under Brassica napus (rape). RNAcentral describes it as "long non-coding RNA (BNAP_LNC012296)". The record is from RNAcentral. Lineage: Eukaryota; Viridiplantae; Streptophyta; Magnoliopsida; Brassicales; Brassicaceae.